AAAUCUGGUUUGGAAGCUUUUGAUAUUAGAUUUGAUGAGCAUGCCCCUAAAGUAGCAUUGCCCCAGGGGAUAAUGGUACCAGUGAAUUCGUUUAAUACAAUAUACCAUUCAUCGGCUUUUUGGGGUUUGAUGCUUCCUGUAUCAGUAAGUACAAUGGCCUCUGAUGUGUUAAGGGGCUAUUGGGGACAAAGGCUAUUGUGGGAGAUUGGUGGCUAUGUUGUGGUUUAUCCACCUACUGUACAUAGAUAUGAUAGGAUUGAGGGAUACCCUUUUUCAGAAGAGAAAGAUCUACAUGUAAAUGUAGGGAGGUUAAUUAAGUUUUUGGUUUUGUGGAGGUCAACUAAGCAUAGGUUGUUUGAAAAGAUUUUGGAGCUGAGUUAUGCCAUGGCAGAGGAGGGCUUUUGGACUGAGCAAGAUGUGAAGUUUACUGCUGCUUGGCUUCAGGACUUGAUUGCUGUUGGGUAUCAGCAGCCUAGAUUAAUGUCAUUGGAAUUGGAUAGACCACGGGCAAGUAUUGGCCAUGGGGAUAGAAGGGAGUUUAUCCCUCGAAAGCUGCCAUCUGUGCAUCUGGGAGUAGAGGAAACAGGGACAGUGAGUUAUGAGAUUGGCAACUUGAUUCGGUGGAGGAAGAAUUUUGCAAAUAUUGUGCUUAUUAUGUUUUGCGCUGGGCCUGUGGAACGGACUGCUUUGGAA
RNAcentral lists this unclassified non-coding RNA (693 nucleotides) under Hevea brasiliensis (rubber tree). The record is from RNAcentral. Lineage: Eukaryota; Viridiplantae; Streptophyta; Magnoliopsida; Malpighiales; Euphorbiaceae.